Molecule: long non-coding RNA, 443 nt
Organism: Oncorhynchus tshawytscha (Chinook salmon)
Lineage: Eukaryota; Metazoa; Chordata; Actinopteri; Salmoniformes; Salmonidae
Source: Ensembl
ACAGCAGGGUACAGGGUAGUGGUUUAGUAUAGGCCACAGCAGGGUACAGGGUAGUGGUUUAGUAUAGGCCACAACAGGGUAGUGGUUUAGUAUAGGCCCCAGCAGGGUACAGGGUAGUGGUUUAGUAUAGGCCCCAGCAGGGUACAGGGUAGUGGUUUAGUAUAGGCCACAGCAGGGUACAGAGUAGUGGUUUAGUAUAGGCCACAGCAGGGUACAGAGUAGUGGUUUAGUAUAGGCCACAACAGGGUAGUGGUUUAGUAUAGGCCCCAGCAGGGUACAGGGUAGUGGUUUAGUAUAGGCCACAGCAGGGUACAGGGUAGUGGUUUAGUAUAGGCCACAGCAGAGUACAGGGUAGUGGUUUAGUUUAGGCCACAGCAGAGUACAGGGUAGUGGUUUAGUAUAGGCCACAGCAGAGUACAGGGUAGUGGUUUAGUAUAUGCCAC